UAUUUUAUUUUGUUCACUUCAGAUAAUUGUAGAUUAUAUAAACCACAAAAAAGUUUAGUAAUCACAAAGUCUGUGAUUAUUAUAAAAUGGUAAAGUAUCCCAACAGGUCAAAUAAAUAGUUUCUAUUUCCAAAGAGAGUUUAUUUUGGGGGCGGGGGGAGACUUGCCCUCACUAUGCAGGAUUAAGUCUUUGUAGCGCUUACACAUUUUUUUCAAAGCUACCACACCCUAGAGAGUUAUUUUCUCUGUCUCAUAAAUAUCUGGCUUGCAGUCAUGUAACAAGUAAGAAGUGCUGCUCUUCCUGACUGAAGUUUUUUAUCUUUCACCCAGUACUUUUAAUCUGUCAAGGUAGAAUAGCCAAGCAAUUAUAAAAGGAUUGAUGCAAUUCCUGAAAAUCUACAUAAACCCAAGUGCAAUCCUGUCUAAGUUCAGAACAAAAUGUUUUGUGACGUUGUUGGAUAUAAACAGUACGGGACGUCUGGUAGUUUUGGGUUGUAGUUUGUUUCUCGACCUAUUCUAUAAUAGACUUAAAACCAAUGGGCUACAAUGAAAAACUUUUAAAAUAAAAAAAGAUAAACUUAUAAUAUAUAAAUCAUAGGUUUUCAUUUUGUAGCGUUUUUUGUGAAGGCGUAAUGCUUAUUUCAAACCGCUAGGUGUCAGUAAAAACUUUACGCUCCCAUGUGCUCACACACAUCGGGAUGUGGUUGUUUACUUUAGAUCACAAAACUAUUCACCCUCUUAUUACUUCAUCAGACUUACCCAUCGUUUUGUAAAUAUACACACAUUAUCUUCCCAAAGAAUCUGGAUUGAUCUGCAUGUAAACUGGACCUCGUGUGUUCCUCAAAUUCCCAGAACCUGUUUUGCUUCUGUGCUCAGCCCCUCUGCACCUGGGGCUCCUCAAACUAUUUUUCUAGGAAAUAUCUGCCAAGAUCCACUCGCGGUUUCCUGCCUGUGCUCGCACUCAUCCUGACCAUCUGCUGAGGCUUCAGUGCAAAAACAAUGUAUUCACUCUCAGAUUAUUACAUUUUUUGUUGUUGGGCAUUUUAAUAAAUUGUUAAUCUAUAUACUAAAUAUAACUUCUCUGCACAUUAAGGUUUUUCACAACUUUUGUUAUUUUUAAGUGCUUUAAAUUCCAGUUCGUUUCAUGUGUUUCUUUACUCAGACGGAGUCCAUUAGAGUUAAAAAGUAGCGAUGUUAAAUACACAUUCAUUUUAUCUAAGUGGCUCAUCUGACCCAGAAGGGGAAUCUAAACAUCCACCAUCAGUGAAAUGCUCCAGGUGUGAAUAGAGAUUUACUCUGUUCAGCUUUUAUUAUGUUUAAGUUAUUAUUUACAGCCUCUGCAGACAGUCAUUCUGUCACCUAAAAUCUCACGUAAAAUACAUGAAAGUUUUUGAUUGGAAUGGGACAAAAGGUUUAUAUAGUUUAAGUGCUAUGGAUGAUUUUUCAAGGGAGUCCUGGGUUUACCUCAGGAUCUCCCCCCACUACAUGAAGAUCCUCUAAAGGCAGGCAGCCCGGAGGCAUCCUGAUUAUUGGGUCAAACUAUUUAAGCUGUGUUAAAUCCUCUCAAGGCAAACCCAUAACAGGAACACAAAAAAGGAACAGAUUUUACUUGAUGGUGAUGUCAUGCUGAGCUUCUGUAGAAGUGAGAGCUACUCACUGACAUUCCUGAGAUAUUAUCAAGCUGGUCACUGUUGGAGCUCUUCCCUCCGAUCUGAAACAAGCAAUGAAUGAAGGCUAAGGUCAUGAAAGAAAUUGAUGCUCCCUUUCAAAUCUUCAACUUUGGUAAAAGAAAUAGAACUAAAAUCCUGGAUUCACCUUUCUGCAAACGUUAUUGUUGCAAAAUUUCUUUAUUUAUCAGAAUUAAACAUGUCACUCCAGACUGCUUUACUUUAUAUCUAUUUGUACAAAUAAAAAAAGGAAUUCCUGCUCAUAUAAUAUGGGUUUGAAAUAUGUGUUUGAGUAGGUUAAUGUGUAGGUUCUCCGUAGGAAAAACCCUACAUUACUUAAGAGUAGUUUUUAUUAAAAUUGUCAAAAACUUUUCACAACCUACAUUUGCCAAUAAGACAGUGUUUUAUUGUCUUACAACAUUUCAGAUGGUUGAAUUCUUUGACCGUUCUUUGCAGAAUCUCAAUAGAUUCUCUCAAGUUCUGGGUCUUUCCAACUCUUUUAUUUAGUAUUUAGAUCUGGAACUUCUUUAAAAUGACACAUUUUAAAGAAAUCAUCUUGCCUUGCAGAAGAACAUCCCAGGAGCUCCACAGAUCCUGCAGCAAGAAAACAGUGGAGCUUUUCCACAUCCUUUGUUUUAUGCCCGAUCCACCUGAAACGUUUUUUUAAAGAAAAGUUCAAGUUUUAUCUCAUCCAACCAAGGCAGCUGAUAUGAGUUGAUAUUUACUAUUGGUUUAGCAAAUAUGGCAGAUAUGUUUUUCUUAUGUAUUUUCCUUGAAGGCCCCCUAGAAACAGUUGGCACAAAGAUAAUGGUUGUCAUGGAGAUUUAGCAAUCAGAAGAUGCCACAUAUGAAGAUCAACAUUUGUUGAUCUUCAUAUGUGGCUAAAUAUGUGUUGUAACUAAAUCGAAUGUUUUCUCGUCUUGCCCACUUUGAACGGUUGCUAAGAUAAUUUUGGAUCUGUGCUCUGUGGCUUACACGCCAGAAAAUCAUGAAUUCAUGGAUUACUGAUUAAAAGUUCUCCAAUCAACUCCAGUCAAAAAAAUAACAUUAAUUACAAAAAUAAUUUAGUUCACAUUUUAACUAAAUCAUUACUAUUUAGUAAAUAGUAACUAUUUACUAUUCGGUAAAUCGAAUAGUAAAUAGUAACAGUCUAAAUAUUUACUAUGUAAAUAGUGAAUAUUUACUAAAUAUUCACUAUUUACUAAAUAUUUUGCUGUUUUGUAAAUAGUAAAACAUGUACUAAAGAUUUGAAUAUAUUUAGUAAAUAUUAACAUGUGAGUAAUUAUUGGUGAUUUUGUACAAAAACAACAAUGAUUUAAUGUGGUGUGUACCUUUUGCUGUCUGCCUGGUGUUUCCCUGAGUUCUUUAAAUAUUUCUGUUAUUUUGUGAUUAAAAUUCUUGUUGUGUCACUCCACUGCAUUUGGGUCUUCAAUCCUCGCUAAUCAGGGCAUUCAAUGGUUUUUAGCAAACCUUGACAAGAGGUACAUUUUUAAUGGUACUGCAAAGCCAGAGGUUUAUAUUUUUGUUUAUUUGAAAAAAAAAAACCAAACAAUUUCAUGACAUAUAUUACAUAUGUAUAUAUAACAUACAUAUGUAAUAUAUGUCAUGACAUAUAUGACAUGACAUACAUGUCAUGAAAUGACAUAUUUGAAACAAAAUAUAAUAUUGAUGAAUUAGUAAUGAAAAAUCCAGGCAGAUAUUUGCACUUGAACUGGCAGAAUGGUGUGUGACUUUACACACAGCUGCAUAGUCACAACAGACGCUCCAUGAUAACAACAAUGGACAAAGGACAUGAGUCACACUCAAUUACAUACUGUUUCUUUUUCAGAAAAGUAAAGAGUCAUCUCUCUCUCUCUGUAAUGCAAAAAGCACACACAGACACGCAGCAGUCGGUACGAAACUGAAAAUAUGAAGUAUGAAAAGCUACGUUUAAUUUCAAUUGUCAAACCUAGAGCUGAAACAUGCGGGACCUACAAAAUCACAAAACACAGGAAAAGUCAACAUGAACAUGUCAUCUCCCAAUCGAACAGAAAAAUUUGAAAUAGAUGA
Long non-coding RNA from Xiphophorus couchianus (Monterrey platyfish), 3715 nucleotides. RefSeq lists it as uncharacterized. The transcript is spliced from 2 exons. NCBI's taxonomy places the organism in Eukaryota, Metazoa, Chordata, Actinopteri, Cyprinodontiformes, Poeciliidae. The record is from RefSeq and is a predicted model, not a curated record.